UGAGUGUCCUUAUGAAUGUGUUCUGAGC
This 28-nucleotide non-coding RNA is filed under the name Mus musculus (house mouse). Lineage: Eukaryota; Metazoa; Chordata; Mammalia; Rodentia; Muridae. The record is from RNAcentral.